Peromyscus californicus insignis is the source of this 891-nucleotide long non-coding RNA. RefSeq lists it as uncharacterized. Lineage: Eukaryota; Metazoa; Chordata; Mammalia; Rodentia; Cricetidae. The transcript is spliced from 3 exons. The record is from RefSeq and is a predicted model, not a curated record.
CAGUAAGCCACAAAAUGAAACUGAAACCAAUCCAGUGCUUUCCUGAGGUUGCUUUUUUCAGGCGUUUACAGCAACCAGACAAGUAGCUGAGACAGCAUGUAGAUUGAGAGUCAUGGGGCUGGUGCUGUGAUAAACCUCACCGUGUAGUUCCUAGGCCCUUAGAACUGGUUUCCCAGGUGAGUGUGGAAGAGUUUGGGGCAACGGUCUGGAGAAGUCUCAGAACGCUGUAAGCGGAGCUCAAUAGGCCUCUGCUGGGAGUUUAGAAGACCAAAUGCCAAAGGAAAUGUGAACAGUCAAGGCUCGGCUUGUGACAUUUCAGACUGGGAACACAGACUCUAUGGGAACUGGGCUAGUGGACGUUUGUGUUAUGCUGUGACAAAGAAUCUGCCUUCAUCCUGCUCAUGUCCCCAGGCUCAAUUCAAAGGGACAUGCAAAAGAGUUGUGGGGUCCUGGAGACUUGCACCAAGAUUUCUUAAAGCCUUAAAGACUGGCCAAUAUGCAGCAGUGCUUUAUUUCCUGCAAGGAAGCCCCAGGAGGCCACUGCAUGAAGCUAUGAAGGUCUACAGUCAAGAGUGAUAGGAAUUCCAACCAUGCCCCCAUGGUUGCGCAUGCCCAGCGGGACACUUAGUCAUUUCCGCCUAGUCAUUUCCGGGUCAUACGUCCUGUGUGACCCAUGACCCCAUGGCUGCGUGGUUGUGCAAAGCACGUGGCACAACCAUGUGAUCUAUGCACAUGCAUGGAAUAGCCACAUGGGCCUGUGUGCACAGGUGUGGCUUGGCCUUUGAAAGCCGGCUCCUAUGUUCCCUCUCCCCCUUCACACAUGUGUCCUUUCAUCAGGCCUGAUCAUGUCUAUCCUUUUCUCUUUGUCUUAAUAAAACUCUUGUUAGUGGA